AAGGAGAUUACACCUGAUCCACUGAUUGAGGCCUUGGAAUCUGUGGUUGGUGAUCGUGAUUCCUUUGAUGGGAGAUUACAAGCAGUGCAGGCAGAUUCUGAGUGGACUGAUGUAGAAUCACUUAUCAAAGAACUGCAACAAAUUGAAGGGAUCCAGUCCGUAACUAAAGGCCGUUUUUUCUUGAGUCCUGGUUUAGCCCCAACAUUUCAGGUAUAUAUGGCGUCCAUGUUUGAAAAUCAAUACAAGUUACUUGCUCGAUCUGGAAACAAAGUACAAGAGG
This 280-nucleotide unclassified non-coding RNA is filed under the name Hevea brasiliensis (rubber tree). Lineage: Eukaryota; Viridiplantae; Streptophyta; Magnoliopsida; Malpighiales; Euphorbiaceae. The record is from RNAcentral.